Molecule: ribosomal RNA, 321 nt
Filed under: uncultured Pseudomonadota bacterium
Lineage: Bacteria; Pseudomonadati; Pseudomonadota
Description: bacterial SSU rRNA
Rfam family: Bacterial small subunit ribosomal RNA
Source: RNAcentral
AUUGAACGCUGGCGGAAUGCUUUACACAUGCAAGUCGAGCGGCAGCGCGGGGGCAACCCUGGCGGCGAGCGGCGAACGGGUGAGUAAUGUAUCGGAACGUACCCUGUCGUGGGGGAUAACACAGCGAAAGCUGUGCUAAUACCGCAUACGACCUGAGGGUGAAAGCGGGGGAUCGCAAGACCUCGCGCGAUAGGAGCGGCCGAUAUCGGAUUAGCUAGUUGGUGAGGUAAAGGCUCACCAAGGCGACGAUCCGUAGCUGGUCUGAGAGGACGACCAGCCACACUGGAACUGAGACACGGUCCAGACUCCUACGGGAGGCUG